GAUGAACGCUGACAGAAUGCUUAACACAUGCAAGUCGAAGGUGAAGCUGUGCUUGCACAGCCUAGCCAAGGCGGACGGGUGAGUAACGCGUAAGGAACUUGCCCUGCAGUCAGGGAUAACAGACGGAAACGACUGAUAAGACCUGGUAAAGUCAGGCGGACUCAUGUCCAGCCCGAUGAAAAGAGAUGCUGCAGGAGAGCCUUGCGUCCUAUUAGCUUGUUGGUGGGGUAACGGCCCACCACGGCAAUGAUAGGCAGCCGGCCUGAGAGGAUGGUCGGCCGCCACGGGGAUGCGAUGCGGCCGUUCCGCCUCCUGGAGGAAGCAGUAGUGAAUAAUAGAGGAUGGUGGCAGCCCUGAUGAAGCAAUUCUGCGUGGAGAGUGAUGGUGUUCGGAUGGUAAAGUACUUUCAGAAGGGAAGAAGAUAAUGACGGUACCUGCAGAAGAAGCUCCGGCUAACUACGUG
This 463-nucleotide ribosomal RNA is filed under the name uncultured bacterium. RNAcentral describes it as "partial 16S ribosomal RNA". It matches the Rfam family "Bacterial small subunit ribosomal RNA", at positions 28 to 507 of the family's 1533-position model. The record is from RNAcentral.